Molecule: ribosomal RNA, 555 nt
Filed under: uncultured bacterium
Lineage: Bacteria
Description: bacterial SSU rRNA
Rfam family: Bacterial small subunit ribosomal RNA
Source: RNAcentral
AGUGGCGGACGGGUGAGUAAUGUCUGGGAAACUGCCUGAUGGAGGGGGAUAACUACUGGAAACGGUAGCUAAUACCGCAUACCAUCGGAUGUGCCCAGAUGGGAUUAGCUAGUAGGUGGGGUAAAGGCUCACCUAGGCGACGAUCCCUAGCUGGUCUGAGAGGAUGACCAGCCACACUGGAACUGAGACACGGUCCAGACUCCUACGGGAGGCAGCAGUGGGGAAUAUUGCACAAUGGGCGCAAGCCUGAUGCAGCCAUGCCGCGUGUAUGAAGAAGGCCUUCGUGUUGUAAAGUACUUUCAGCGGGGAGGCGUUACCCGCAGAAGAAGCACCGGCUAACUCCGUGCCAGCAGCCGCGGUAAUACGGAGGGUGCAAGCGUUAAUCGGAAUUACUGGGCGUAAAGCGCACGCAGGCGGUUUGUUAAGUCAGAUGUGAAAUCCCCGGGCUCAACCUGGGAACUGCAUCUGAUACUGGCAAGCUUGAGUCUCGUAGAGGGGGGUAGAAUUCCAGGUGUAGCGGUGAAAUGCGUAGAGAUCUGGAGGAAUACCGGUGGC